This 429-nucleotide ribosomal RNA is filed under the name Bacteroidota bacterium. RNAcentral's name for it is "Bacteroidetes bacterium partial 16S ribosomal RNA". It matches the Rfam family "Bacterial small subunit ribosomal RNA", at positions 355 to 776 of the family's 1533-position model. Lineage: Bacteria; Pseudomonadati; Bacteroidota. The record is from RNAcentral.
UAGGGAAUCUUCCGCAAUGGACGCAAGUCUGACGGAGCAACGCCGCGUGAGUGAAGAAGGAUUUCGGUUCGUAAAACUCUGUUGUUAGAGAAGAACAGCGCAUAGAGUAACUGUUAUGCGUGUGACGGUAUCUAACCAGAAAGCCACGGCUAACUACGUGCCAGCAGCCGCGGUAAUACGUAGGUGGCAAGCGUUGUCCGGAUUUAUUGGGCGUAAAGCGAGCGCAGGCGGUCAAUUAAGUCUGAUGUGAAAGCCCCCGGCUCAACCGGGGAGGGUCAUUGGAAACUGGUUGACUUGAGUGCAGAAGAGGAGAGUGAAAUUCCAUGUGUAGCGGUGAAAUGCGUAGAUAUAUGGAGGAACACCAGUGGCGAAGGCGACUCUCUGGUCUGUAACUGACGCAGAGGCUCGAAAGCGUGGGUAGCAAACAGG